RNAcentral lists this unclassified non-coding RNA (359 nucleotides) under Hevea brasiliensis (rubber tree). The record is from RNAcentral. Lineage: Eukaryota; Viridiplantae; Streptophyta; Magnoliopsida; Malpighiales; Euphorbiaceae.
GAGUUACUUCACAGAAACAUACCAGUGGAGUGGCGUUUCUUGCCUUUUGCACUCCGCCUUGCAUUCUACAAUGGCGGAUAUUAGAAAAUGGUUCAUGAAAGCACACGAUAAAGAGAACGGCAGUGGAUCAAAGAAAGCAAAACCCGCUCCAAGCAACUUAGAGAAAUCCGCUUCAGCUGAACUACAGUCCGGGAAAACAGGGCCGAGUGGUGGAGAAAGUACUGGCAGACGGAUAACUAGCAAGUAUUUUGCAUCAGAAAAGCAUAAGGACAAGGAUACAAAAGAAACAGAGGAACCCCCGAUCAAACAAAAGUCUCCACAGGAUCCUAAGGAAUCUCCAGCCAAAAGAAAGUUUCAAA